Molecule: transfer RNA, 76 nt
Filed under: Mycoplasmataceae bacterium
Lineage: Bacteria; Bacillati; Mycoplasmatota; Mollicutes; Mycoplasmatales; Mycoplasmataceae
Description: tRNA-Ala
Rfam family: tRNA
About the family: Transfer RNA (tRNA) molecules are approximately 80 nucleotides in length. Their secondary structure includes four short double-helical elements and three loops (D, anti-codon, and T loops).
Source: RNAcentral
GGGGUGUUAGCUCAGUUGGUAGAGCACUUGAUUUGCACUCAAGGGGUCGUGGGUUCAAGUCCCUUACGCUCCACCA